AUACGGAGGAUGCGAGCGUUAUCCGGAUUUAUUGGGUUUAAAGGGUGCGUAGGCGGCACGGAAAGUCAGCGGUAAAAAUGCGGUGCUCAACGCCGUACAGCCGUUGAAACUGACGGGCUAGCGUACGCCAGGAGCAUGCGGAAUGCGCGGUGUAGCGGUGAAAUGCAUAGAUAUCGCGCAGAACUCCGAUCGCGAAGGCAGCAUGCUAUGGCGAAACGGACGCUGAGGCACGAAAGCGCGGGGAUCGAACAGGAUUAGAUACCCUGGUAGUCCGCGCAGUAAACGAUGAGCGCUAACUGUCCGGUCCGAACGGGGGCUGGGGGGUAAAGCGAAAGCGUUAAGCGCUCCACCUGGGGAGUACGCCGGCAACGGUGAA
Molecule: ribosomal RNA, 376 nt
Filed under: uncultured bacterium
Lineage: Bacteria
Description: bacterial SSU rRNA
Rfam family: Bacterial small subunit ribosomal RNA
Source: RNAcentral